AGCGCAUCAGGGCAAACCAACGGAAACGUUGGGACGCAAAGCUACGGGUCUACGGGGACUUGACCUAGGAUCGCCGGGCUGCCGCU
RNAcentral lists this non-coding RNA (86 nucleotides) under Alicyclobacillus acidocaldarius. RNAcentral describes it as "c-di-GMP sequence". It matches the Rfam family "c-di-GMP-I riboswitch aptamer". From Rfam's summary of the family: GEMM was predicted in a large-scale screen for bacterial structured RNA regulatory elements. The record is from RNAcentral. Lineage: Bacteria; Bacillati; Bacillota; Bacilli; Caryophanales; Alicyclobacillaceae. RNAcentral also lists the same sequence under 1 other name.